ACAACAGUAGCAGCAGCAGCAGGCGCGGUUGACGAAUCAGAGUGGGGAAGGGAAGCGAGCAAGUAAGCAAGCAAGCAAGCAUCAAGGGACUGGGGAAUAUAGGAGAGAGAACACCGCUCAGACCUCAGUGGGCCAGCGACCUUACUGAGAGUAGGGUGUGUUGCGCGGAGCUCUCGGGAGAUGCCAGUUGUCGCCCGACUCUGGCUUUUGUUUACAUCACCAAUCGACAGCCUCUAACUCCCUCGUCUAUAUAAAACACCAAGAACGACAAGAAGAACUGGAAGUAGAAGAAGCGAGAAAAAAGUAAAAGGGAAAAAAAAAAUAACACAAAGCACAGGACAAAGACUUCACGGGCUGUGGACUUUCAAGAGAGAAAGGAAACGAGUUAUUUUUGCAAACUACGUAUCAUAUUACCUCUCGUCCCUUAGUCCUCUCUUACUACCUUUCUACCUUCCUCAGCAUCUCUACUUUCUCUCUCUCUCUCUCUCUCUCUCUCUCUCUCUCUCUCUCUCUCUCUCUCU
Molecule: long non-coding RNA, 521 nt
Organism: Scylla paramamosain (green mud crab)
Lineage: Eukaryota; Metazoa; Arthropoda; Malacostraca; Decapoda; Portunidae
Exons: 2
Source: RefSeq, a predicted model, not a curated record